GUCGAGAAUUUUUCACAAUGGGCGAAAGCCUGAUGGAGCGACGCCGCGUGGGGGAUGAAGGGCUUCGGUCCGUAAACCCCUGUCAUUUGCGAACAAACCUUUCCACCUAACACGUGGAGAGCUGAUUGUAGCGAAAGAGGAAGGGACGGCUAACUCUGUGCCAGCAGCCGCGGUAAUACAGAGGUCCCAAGCGUUGUUCGGAUUUACUGGGCGUAAAGGGUGCGUAGGUGGCGAGGUAAGUUUGAUGUGAAAUCUCCGAGCUCAACUCGGAAACGGCAUUGAAUACUAUCCCGCUUGAGGGUCGGAGGGGAGACUGGAAUUCUCGGUGUAGCAGUGAAAUGCGUAGAUAUCGAGAGGAACACCAGUGGCGAAGGCGAGUCUCUGGACGACUCCUGACACUGAGGCACGAAAGCUGGGGGAGCAAACAGGAUUAGAUACCCUUGUAGUCC
RNAcentral lists this ribosomal RNA (449 nucleotides) under uncultured bacterium. Its description in RNAcentral is "bacterial SSU rRNA". It matches the Rfam family "Bacterial small subunit ribosomal RNA", at positions 354 to 796 of the family's 1533-position model. The record is from RNAcentral.